Molecule: ribosomal RNA, 2503 nt
Filed under: Listeria monocytogenes
Lineage: Bacteria; Bacillati; Bacillota; Bacilli; Caryophanales; Listeriaceae
Description: partial 23S ribosomal RNA
Rfam family: Bacterial large subunit ribosomal RNA
Source: RNAcentral
GUGAAAUUCCGUCGGAAUCCGGGAGGACCAUCUCCCAAGGCUAAAUACUCCCUAGUGACCGAUAGUGAACCAGUACCGUGAGGGAAAGGUGAAAAGCACCCCGGAAGGGGAGUGAAACAGUUCCUGAAACCGUGUGCCUACAAGUAGUUAGAGCCCGUUAAUGGGUGAUAGCGUGCCUUUUGUAGAAUGAACCGGCGAGUUACGAUUUGUUGCAAGGUUAAGCGGAAAAAGCGGAGCCGUAGCGAAAGCGAGUCUGAAUAGGGCGCAUAAGUAACAGGUCGUAGACCCGAAACCAGGUGAUCUACCCAUGUCCAGGAUGAAGGUAAGGUAAUACUUACUGGAGGUCCGAACCCACGCACGUUGAAAAGUGCGGGGAUGAGGUGUGGGUAGCGGAGAAAUUCCAAUCGAACUUGGAGAUAGCUGGUUCUCUCCGAAAUAGCUUUAGGGCUAGCCUCGAGGUAAAGAGUCAUGGAGGUAGAGCACUGUUUGGACUAGGGGCCCUUCUCGGGUUACCGAAUUCAGAUAAACUCCGAAUGCCAUGUACUUAUACUCGGGAGUCAGACUGCGAGUGAUAAGAUCCGUAGUCGAAAGGGAAACAGCCCAGACCACCAGUUAAGGUCCCCAAAUAUAUGUUAAGUGGAAAAGGAUGUGGGGUUGCUUAGACAACCAGGAUGUUGGCUUAGAAGCAGCCACCAUUGAAAGAGUGCGUAAUAGCUCACUGGUCGAGUGACCCCGCGCCGAAAAUGUACCGGGGCUAAACAUAUUACCGAAACUGUGGAUGAACCUCUUUAGAGGUUCGUGGUAGGAGAGCGUUCUAAGGGCGGUGAAGUCAGACCGGAAGGACUGGUGGAGCGCUUAGAAGUGAGAAUGCCGGUAUGAGUAGCGAAAGAAGGGUGAGAAUCCCUUCCACCGAAUAUCUAAGGUUUCCUGAGGAAGGCUCGUCCGCUCAGGGUUAGUCGGGACCUAAGCCGAGGCCGAUAGGCGUAGGCGAUGGACAACAGGUAGAGAUUCCUGUACCAGUGCUAAUUGUUUAACCGAUGGGGUGACACAGAAGGAUAGGGAAUCGCACGAAUGGAAAUGUGCGUCCAAGCAGUGAGUGUGAGAAGUAGGCAAAUCCGCUUCUCGCGAAGCAUGAGCUGUGAUGGGGAAGGAAAUUAAGUACGGAAGUUCCUGAUUUCACGCUGUCAAGAAAAGCCUCUAGGAAGAGUAGUACUGCCCGUACCGCAAACCGACACAGGUAGAUGAGGAGAGAAUCCUAAGGUGAGCGAGAGAACUCUCGUUAAGGAACUCGGCAAAAUGACCCCGUAACUUCGGGAGAAGGGGUGCUCUAUUAGGGUGCAAGCCCGAGAGAGCCGCAGUGAAUAGGCCCAGGCGACUGUUUAGCAAAAACACAGGUCUCUGCAAAACCGUAAGGUGACGUAUAGGGGCUGACGCCUGCCCGGUGCUGGAAGGUUAAGAGGAGUGCUUAGCUUCGGCGAAGGUACGAAUUGAAGCCCCAGUAAACGGCGGCCGUAACUAUAACGGUCCUAAGGUAGCGAAAUUCCUUGUCGGGUAAGUUCCGACCCGCACGAAAGGCGCAACGAUCUGGGCACUGUCUCAACGAGAGACUCGGUGAAAUUAUAGUACCUGUGAAGAUGCAGGUUACCCGCGACAGGACGGAAAGACCCCGUGGAGCUUUACUGCAACCUGAUAUGGAAUGUUUGUACCGCUUGUACAGGAUAGGUAGGAGCCGAAGAGACGUGUGCGCUAGCAUACGAGGAGGCAAUGGUGGGAUACUACCCUGGCUGUAUGACCAUUCUAACCCGCCACGCUUAGCGCGUGGGGAGACAGUGUCAGGUGGGCAGUUUGACUGGGGCGGUCGCCUCCUAAAGAGUAACGGAGGCGACCAAAGGUUCCCUCAGAAUGGAUGGAAAUCAUUCGCAGAGUGUAAAGGCACAAGGGAGCUUGACUGCGAGACUGACAAGUCGAGCAGGGACGAAAGUCGGGCUUAGUGAUCCGGUGGUUCCGCAUGGAAGGGCCAUCGCUCAACGGAUAAAAGCUACCCCGGGGAUAACAGGCUUAUCUCCCCCAAGAGUCCACAUCGACGGGGAGGUUUGGCACCUCGAUGUCGGCUCGUCGCAUCCUGGGGCUGUAGUCGGUCCCAAGGGUUGGGCUGUUCGCCCAUUAAAGCGGCACGCGAGCUGGGUUCAGAACGUCGUGAGACAGUUCGGUCCCUAUCCGUCGCGGGCGCAGGAAAUUUGAGAGGAGCUGUCCUUAGUACGAGAGGACCGGGAUGGACACACCGCUGGUGUACCAGUUGUUCCGCCAGGAGCAUCGCUGGGUAGCUAUGUGUGGCAGGGAUAAACGCUGAAAGCAUCUAAGCGUGAAGCCCCCCUCAAGAUGAGAUUUCCCAUUUCUUCGGAAAGUAAGAUCCCUGAAAGAUGAUCAGGUAGAUAGGUUUGGAGUGGAAGUGUAGCGAUACAUGGAGCGGACAAAUACUAAUCGAUCGAGGACUUAACCAAAA